Molecule: transfer RNA, 74 nt
Filed under: Clostridia bacterium
Lineage: Bacteria; Bacillati; Bacillota; Clostridia
Description: tRNA-Ile
Rfam family: tRNA
About the family: Transfer RNA (tRNA) molecules are approximately 80 nucleotides in length. Their secondary structure includes four short double-helical elements and three loops (D, anti-codon, and T loops).
Source: RNAcentral
GCUGCCGUAACUCAAGUGGCAAGAGUUCCGGUCUUAUAAACCGGCGGCUGCCUGUUCGAAUCAGGCCGGCAGUA